ACAGGUGCUGCAUGGCUGUCGUCAGCUCGUGUCGUGAGAUGUUCGGUUAAGUCCGCUAACGAGCGCAACCCUCACUGUGUGUUACAUGUGUCACACGGGACUGCCGGCUUUAAGCCGGAGGAAGGCGGGGAUGACGUCAAGUCAGCAUGGCCUUUAUAUCCUGGGCUACACACACGCUACAAUGGUCUGUACAAUAGGUUGCCAAGCCGCGAGGCGGAGCCAAUCCAUAAAGCAGGCCUCAGUUCAGAUUGCAGUCUGCAACCCGACUGCAUGAAGAUGGAGUUGCUAGUAACCGCAGGUCAGCUAUACUGCGGUGAAUACGUUCCCGGGUCUU
This 334-nucleotide ribosomal RNA is filed under the name uncultured Anaerolineaceae bacterium. Its description in RNAcentral is "bacterial SSU rRNA". It matches the Rfam family "Bacterial small subunit ribosomal RNA", at positions 1034 to 1382 of the family's 1533-position model. The record is from RNAcentral. Lineage: Bacteria; Bacillati; Chloroflexota; Anaerolineae; Anaerolineales; Anaerolineaceae.